RNAcentral lists this ribosomal RNA (510 nucleotides) under uncultured bacterium. RNAcentral describes it as "partial 16S ribosomal RNA". It matches the Rfam family "Bacterial small subunit ribosomal RNA", at positions 28 to 507 of the family's 1533-position model. The record is from RNAcentral.
GACGAACGCUGGCGGCGUGCUUAACACAUGCAAGUCGAACGAAGAGCGAUGGAAGCUUGCUUCUAUCAAUCUUAGUGGCGCACGGGUGAGUAACGCGUAAUCAACCUGCCCUUCAGAGGGGGACAACAGUUGGAAACGACUGCUAAUACCGCAUACGAUCUAAUCUCGGCAUCGAGGAUAGAUGAAAGGUGGCCUCUACAUGUAAGCUAUCACUGAAGGAGGGGAUUGCGUCUGAUUAGCUAGUUGGAGGGGUAACGGCCCACCAAGGCGAUGAUCAGUAGCCGGUCGGGAAGGAGGAACGGCCACAUUGGGACUGAGACACGGCCCAGACUCCUACGGGAGGCAGCAGUGGGGAAUCUUCCGCAAUGGACGAAAGUCUGACGGAGCAACGCCGCGUGAGUGAUGACGGCCGUCGGGUUGUAAAGCUCUGUUAAUCGGGACGAAAGGCCUUCUUGCGAAUAGUGAGAAGGAUUGACGGUACCGGAAGAGAAAGCCACGGCUAACUACGUG